AAAAGCAGAACAAAGACUAAGAACGCCACGUCCUGUGGCAGCGCCUUUGUGACCCGCCUCCUGUGGG
This 67-nucleotide small RNA is filed under the name Cytobacillus firmus. Its description in RNAcentral is "Bacillus firmus Bacillaceae-1 RNA". It matches the Rfam family "Bacillaceae-1 RNA". The record is from RNAcentral. Lineage: Bacteria; Bacillati; Bacillota; Bacilli; Caryophanales; Bacillaceae. RNAcentral also lists the same sequence under 1 other name.